This 749-nucleotide ribosomal RNA is filed under the name uncultured Acidovorax sp. RNAcentral describes it as "bacterial SSU rRNA". It matches the Rfam family "Bacterial small subunit ribosomal RNA", at positions 28 to 774 of the family's 1533-position model. Lineage: Bacteria; Pseudomonadati; Pseudomonadota; Betaproteobacteria; Burkholderiales; Comamonadaceae. The record is from RNAcentral.
AUUGAACGCUGGCGGCAUGCUUUACACAUGCAAGUCGAACGGUAACAGGUCUUCGGAUGCUGACGAGUGGCGAACGGGUGAGUAAUACAUCGGAACGUGCCCGAGAGUGGGGGAUAACGGAGCGAAAGCUGUGCUAAUACCGCAUACGAUCUACGGAUGAAAGCGGGGGAUCGCAAGACCUCGCGCGGACGGAGCGGCCGAUGGCAGAUUAGGUAGUUGGUGGGAUAAAAGCUUACCAAGCCGACGAUCUGUAGCUGGUCUGAGAGGACGACCAGCCACACUGGGACUGAGACACGGCCCAGACUCCUACGGGAGGCAGCAGUGGGGAAUUUUGGACAAUGGGCGAAAGCCUGAUCCAGCAAUGCCGCGUGCAGGAUGAAGGCCUUCGGGUUGUAAACUGCUUUUGUACGGAACGAAAAGACUCCUUCUAAUAAAGGGGGUCCAUGACGGUACCGUAAGAAUAAGCACCGGCUAACUACGUGCCAGCAGCCGCGGUAAUACGUAGGGUGCAAGCGUUAAUCGGAAUUACUGGGCGUAAAGCGUGCGCAGGCGGUUAUAUAAGACAGAUGUGAAAUCCCCGGGCUCAACCUGGGAACUGCAUUUGUGACUGUAUAGCUAGAGUACGGUAGAGGGGGAUGGAAUUCCGCGUGUAGCAGUGAAAUGCGUAGAUAUGCGGAGGAACACCGAUGGCGAAGGCAAUCCCCUGGACCUGUACUGACGCUCAUGCACGAAAGCGUGGGGAGCAAACA